RNAcentral lists this ribosomal RNA (460 nucleotides) under uncultured bacterium. Its description in RNAcentral is "partial 16S ribosomal RNA". It matches the Rfam family "Bacterial small subunit ribosomal RNA", at positions 338 to 795 of the family's 1533-position model. The record is from RNAcentral.
CCUACGAGAGGCAGCAGUGAGGAAUAUUGGUCAAUGGACGAGAGUCUGAACCAGCCAAGUAGCGUGAAGGAUGAAUGCCCUAUGGGUUGUAAACUUCUUUUAUAUGGGAAUAAAAUGUUCAACGAGUGGGAUUUUGUAUGUACCAUAUGAAUAAGGAUCGGCUAACUCCGGGCCAGCAGCCGCGGUAAUACGGGGGAUCCGAGCGUUAUCCGGAUUUAUUGGGUUUAAAGGGAGCGUAGGUGGAGUGUUAAGUCAGUUGUGAAAGUUUGCGGCUCAACCGUAAAAUUGCAGUUGAAACUGACAGUAUUGAGUACAGUAGAGGUGGGCGGAAUGCGUGGUGUAGCGGUGAAAUGCUUAGAUAUCACGAAGAACUCCGAUUGCGAAGGCAGCUCACUGGACUGCAACUGACACUGAGGCUCGAAAGUGUGGGGAUCAAACAGGAUUAGAUACCCGAGUAGUC